RNAcentral lists this long non-coding RNA (882 nucleotides) under Homo sapiens (human). RNAcentral's name for it is "long non-coding RNA NONHSAT189126.1". Lineage: Eukaryota; Metazoa; Chordata; Mammalia; Primates; Hominidae. The record is from RNAcentral.
GCAUGGAGAAUGGCAACAUGGAUCUGGCCAGCCAGGAGAAGGAGCGGCUGGAGGAGAAGCAGAGAGAAGCACGGAGGGAGCGGGCCAAGGAGGAGGCAGAGUGGCAGACGAGGUGGUUCUACCCAGGCAAUAACCCCUACACUGGGACCCCCGACUGGUUGUAUGCAGGGGAUUACUUUGAGCGGAAUUUCUCCGACUGCCCAGAUAUCUACUGAGGGCCUGGAGGGGCCUGGGGCCCGGGACCGGAGGCUGACGAGGCUGGACUUCCUCGAGUGGCCACUGUGAGCCUCGUCACAGCAGAAACCAACUUUUCUAACGACUGAGUUCGCGGAGAUAGCAUCAUCCCUGAUCAAGGAUGUAAUUCUAAUUAACUGUUGAUUGCCAAACAUUUCACUCUGCUGUGCCGUCUCUUCAUAAAGCUUCACUUGGGAUCAUCGUCUUCAUUAAGGUUUCAACAGGGAAAUUCUUCACGGCGCCCUUUUAUGUGGCAGAAAUCAGCUGGGGCUUGUUUAGCUUCCAGCACACUCUCAGUCAUAGCAUGUGUAGCUAAAGGAAGUAAUGGGAAGGGGUUCAUGUUCUCUUUAUAAUGCAGUGGCAAAAGGUUCUGAAAGCCUUUUAAACUCGAACCAGUGGGGGAAAGAUGGAUCUUGAAGCUAAUCCUGCAGAGAGUUUUAUAGAGGCCAGGGAUUGCCUUCUAAAUUAUGAUAAAACAGAAGUGAAGAGUUUCAGAGCAUCAGAUUGAGUGAAAAGUUGUCAGAUUCUGUAUUUUUUAACAAUCUUCAAUAAUGUAAAGAUUACUUUUAAAAUAUUUAAGUUAAAACUACUUGAAUAGUAUUUUGCUGAAGAGCAAGAUAUGCAUUAAUCACCGGUUUUAUACUGUCC